GAAAUGCGAUAAGUAAUGUGAAUUGCAGAAUUCAGUGAAUCAUCGAAUCUUUGAACGCACAUUGCGCCCCCUGGUAUUCCGGGGGGCAUGCCUGUUCGAGCGUCAUUUCACCACUCAAGCCUCGCUUGGUAUUGGGCAACGCGGUCCGCCGCGUGCCUCAAAUCGACCGGCUGGGUCUUCUGUCCCCUAAGCGUUGUGGAAACUAUUCGCUAAAGGGUGUUCGGGAGGCUACGCCGUAAAACAACCCCAUUUCUAAGGUUGACCUCGGAUCAGGUAGGGAUACCGGCUGAACUUAAGC
Molecule: unclassified non-coding RNA, 298 nt
Filed under: plant metagenome
Description: partial contains 5.8S ribosomal RNA, internal transcribed spacer 2, and large subunit ribosomal RNA
Rfam family: 5.8S ribosomal RNA (bases 1-105)
Source: RNAcentral